GAUGAAGAACGCAGCGAAAUGCGAUAAGUAAUGUGAAUUGCAGAAUUCAGUGAAUCAUCGAAUCUUUGAACGCACAUUGCGCCAGCCAGUAUUCUGGCGGGCAUGCCUGUUCGAGCGUCAUUACAACCCUCAGGCCCCCGGGCCUGGCGUUGGGGAUCGGCAGAAGCCCCCUGUGGGCACACGCCGUCCCUCAAAUACAGUGGCGGUCCCGCCGCAGCUUCCAUUGCGUAGUAGCUAACACCUCGCAACUGGAGAGCGGCGCGGCCAUGCCGUAAAACACCCAACUUCUGAAUGUUGACCUCGAAUCAGGUAGGAAUACCCGCUGAACUUAAGCAUAUCAAUAAGCGGAGGA
Molecule: unclassified non-coding RNA, 352 nt
Filed under: soil metagenome
Description: partial contains 5.8S ribosomal RNA, internal transcribed spacer 2, and large subunit ribosomal RNA
Rfam family: 5.8S ribosomal RNA (bases 1-120)
Source: RNAcentral